RNAcentral lists this long non-coding RNA (7391 nucleotides) under Lynx pardinus (Iberian lynx). Lineage: Eukaryota; Metazoa; Chordata; Mammalia; Carnivora; Felidae. The record is from RNAcentral.
GAGAUGAGAAGCAGCAGUGAUGGCCCUCAUAUUGAACCUGGAGACCAGGGUCCCCCAGCUCCCAACCUUUGCCCUGCUCCUGUUCCUGCUAACUACUUGAGUAUCUGAUUCCCAAGUCUCCCACUCGCUUCCCCCACCAUCUCUAAUUCCCUCCUGGAAUCCAGAUGUCCAGAUACCAGGCAAGUUGAAGGUCUUGGAGCUCUCAGGUUCCAUGGUGGGGGGCAAGGGUCUGGGAGGAUGGGGAAACUUAGAGGGCAGGGGACAAAGGGUGGAGGAAUGGUGGCUAGUGGUGCCCCGCUGGAGACAGUGGUCUUGGAGCAGGGAGGGAGAACUUGGGGCCUGGGGGAGGGUGGGGGCUGCGGGAAAUCUGGGGGGGUGGUGUGUUAGUGAAAGGAUUCACAGGAUCCACAGGCAAAACCCCCAAGAAUCAGGGCUUUUGAAGCUCACUCAAGCUAUCUGGAAGGUGCCAAGAGACCUACCUGGUGUAGUUGGGGGUCUGGCCCUGGGCGAAAGGCAGCAGGGCCCAGGCAGUGAGGAGGGGCCCCAAGAGGGAGGCAGUGGCAGCAGGCAUCAUGGCCGGGGGGAGAGGCGCUGGGGUCCUCGAGACCGAGGCAGCAGCUGAGUUUAGCAGCGGCAGCAGCAGCAGCAGGGAUAAUCAGUGCCAGAUGAGGCAGCCUCGGGUGUGUGGGCGUGGGGACUGGCCAGCGGGGCGGGCGGUGGGGAAGGCGGGACAGGGAGAGUGCAGUUGGGACAGUGGUGAGUCCAGGGGCCUCUCUAGGUCUAGGACACAUAAAUAUUGACCUAAGUAGGGGGUGGAGCAACGAAGGGCAGAGGGAGCAUCAACCCUCAGCUGUAAUGCAGGCAUCAAGUAAUGUCAUCUGGAAGCCUGCUGUGUCCAGUACCCAAGCAUCCUGUGAACACAGCCUCUGGUCCUUCCUCAUGAUCCUCCCCAUGCCUGCCUCCUCAGCACCCGUAGAAAGUCCUUCCCUAGACCCCCAACAACUAGUCACUCACCCCCUUCCUGACCACCCCCCUGCUCCAGCUGAUUUUCCGCUUCAAAUUUCUACUGUCUUCUUUGCAUCCCUGGACCAGACUAGGCCAAGGAGAAAAUUCUUUCUGCCCGCCCAUUUUCCCUCCCAAAUAUUUGGAGAUCCGGGAGUGGGUUAGAUGUGGAUAAAGGGAGCAUCCCUCUUAGUGGGGAGGAGGAUGGAGGAGAAAGUGAGGGAAGGAAGGUUAAACAGAGGAGGGGAGGAGGGGGCUGACUUCACAGGGACCGAGGUCAGAAGCAGGUGGCCCCCUCAGGAUGGGAGUAAGUCUGACAGACAGAGGAUCCAUAAGGGGACCGAGUAGCAUAUGUUGACUGCAUUGUUCCAGAAGGUGGGGCUUGAACUUCAAGUCAAGAAGCCUGGGCCACUCUUGGGAGUGGGAGGGGAAAGAGAGCUCUAAGAUUCAGGUGGUCAGUUCAGCAGCACCUGAAUGCUUGAGCCACUUCUGCUCUCUCUGCCUCCUCGUCCAUCCCCCUGCCUUCCAUCGCCCUCCUGAUUGGGGGGCAUUGGGGCCCCCAUCCCCUGCCUUAUUUUCCUCCCAGGCCCCAGGGUUCCAAACAGGGCCUCACUUCAGCCUUUUAUUCUAUUUGCCCAUCAAAUCUCUUGUCCAUGAUAGUCAGGUUGGGGGUCCCUCCCGGGCAGCCCCCUGAACAUUUUACAAAACGGUUCCCUGCCCACCCUGGCAAGCCUAGCAAUUCCCACCCCUCCCCAUGUGCACAUACAAUGUUUAUUGCUACCAUCCCACUCUCCUUAGCUCCUGGCCCAGGGCCAGACUCUCCCUCCAGGGGUAAGACUAGGAAAGGGGCUCAGCUCUCAGGGGUUGAGGGGCCCGGGCCAACCCCUCCAGCAGCCCUCUGCAGCAUGUCCAGGGCCUCCCAGAAGAAAUCUUUCUGUGCAGCCAUCAAGGGCAUCCAACCCACGAUCUCCUUCAUCUUUUCCAUGCGAUCCUGCAACGUGGAGCAACUGUGGAUCUGGCUGAGGUACUCCUCACAGGCCCGGGCUGCCCCCCCAGGGUCCUGGGGUGCUCCAGCUCCCAGGCCAGGCUCGGGGGUCCCCACCACCCUGCUGGCUGGUAGGUCCCGGUAGGUGGGAUGGUGUUCGAUGUCAUGGCUGGACAGCAUGUAGAGGCACUCUCUGGUAGAGCAGAGGGAACAGGCACACAGAGGGACCUUAAAGGAGAGAAGGGGCGUGGCUGAGAGGGGCCUUUACUGAGGGGCUCCCAGGAAGCCCCAGCUGUUGUGUUCCUCCCUCUCAGACCAGCCCUGGGCCAGCAAGUGAGCUAGGGCUGGCUAAGCCCCAAGGUUGUGUAAGGUCAGAGAGGGCGAGCGGGGUCUGCUAAGGGAGAGAGCCAGGAGCCAUGGUGUGUGGCCGGAAAAGGGAGGUGGGUAGUGCUGGGGGGGGGGGGGGGGGCCCCCGGGNCCCCCGGGUCCUUGCAGGAGCCCCAGCUACAGUCCUGUGUGCCACCUGGCUCUAUUGCCCUUGCCCCGUUGCCUGCUGGCGUGUCCUGGCUCUGACCUUGACGUGGAGCUUCACGAAAGAGGCACUCCCCUUAGGCCAGCCAGGGAGGCGGCCUCCAGCCCCACAGCCGCAGCCCAGAAGCUCCUUGCUGAAGUCCGAGCCCUGGCUCAGCACCAGAGAGUGGUUGAGGCCACACCACAGGGCAAUGGGACGUUGCAGAUAAUGCACCUGAGAACACAGGGCCAGGAUCCCUAAGGUGGGAAUGCUGAGGAUUUGAGGGCCCAGGUAGGAGGAGGGCAACAGAAAGGCUCAGGGAAGACUCUAGAAAACUAGGAGAGGGAAGCAAGGGGACUCAGCACCCCCUCAACCCCCACCCAGCCGGAAGGCAGACCAGCAGCAAUCUUUCCCUCCCUAGUUCUCCUGCAGCCCCUGUCGGACUGCAUGGGGUCUAGCACUUCUGUUGGUUCCUCAUCUUUGCUCCUCAGAAAACAGGCUACUUGCCUGCGCCCAGGGCCUGCUACCUGCUCCUUCCUACUACCCCAGACCUGUGCCAGUCCAGGCUCAUCCUGCCUUCCAGCCUCAGGAGGGGGACUAAGUUUCCUCUUCCCAAAGUUUAAAGACUCCCUCCCUCCCUGUACAAUUCCAGGUUAGCCUUCAGGAGGGACCUUCCUUCCACUUAUUCCUCCCUUCUCUCUCUAGCAUUUUCCACUUGUCCUAUCCUUGUCUCCCAAAAUGGCCACUCUGUUUUAAAAAAAAAAAAACAAAAGAAAACAAAAACAAAAACAUUUCCACCUGAUUCCUGCCCCUUCCUACCUCCAUCUUUUAGGCAACAGAACUGGUUAUGUGACCAGUCUGAGGCUGACCACAUUUUUGUUCUCACCACAGCCCAUCUUUCCUGAACUUCUUGUGAUCUGGCUUCCCUGCUUACUAAGCUACUGAUGUGUUCUCCCCAAAUGCACUUGACUUUACAGCUCCCAAACCCCAGGGCCUCUCCUGCAUGCUUUCUCCUGAGAUUAUGAGGGUUUUAAUUUUGAAGACAUAGGUAUGUAAUUUAUGGUCAUUAAAGAAAUGUUAUAAAAUCUUGGAGAGCAAAGAUUAAUUUAAAAAUCACUGGAAAUCCUACCACCCACUAUUAACAUCUUGCUGGGGGUGCCUGAGUGGCUCAGUCAGUUAGGUGUCCUACUUUAACUCAGGUCAUGAUCCUGAGUUCGAGCCCCACAUCGGGCACCCUGCUGUCAGCACAUCAGCAUGGAGCCCCUUCAGAUCCUCUGUCCCCCUUUCUCUCUGCCCCUCCCCUGCUUGUGCACCUUCUCUCUCUCUGAAAAAAUAAACUUAAAAAAAUCUUGCUAGAUAUUCUUUUUUCUUUCUUCUUUUUAUUUUGUAUUUAAGUAGAUUCCUGUGGAGUCUGCUUGGGAUUCUCUCCCUCUCUCUCUGCUCUUCCCCCCCCCAACAUAAAUUAACAUUAAAAAUAAAAAAGAGAGUCAGCUGCUUAACCAUGUGAGCCAAGCAGGCAUCCCUGGAUAUUCUUCUUCACUGCUGCCUCUGUGUGUGUGUGUGUGUGUGUGUGUGUGUGUGUGUGUGUGUGUGUUUUCAAAUUACAGACUUUUAAAUAAAAAUGGGGUUGUACUAUGUAAAUAAUUUUAUAAUUUUUUUUUUCAGCUAAAGAUAUGACCUGACCAUAUUUCCAUGUUGGCAGGUAUAUUCCUAUGUUAUCUGUUACCAUUAAUCACCUCCUCUGUUUGACACUCCCUGUGUCCCUGGCUUCUGGGACUUGGCACCUGAAGGUGUGCCUCCUGCCUCAGAGAUAGCUUCUUCAUUCCCUUUGCCUACAGCAUCAGCUCCUGCCCAGGUUUGUGCCUCUGUCCCUGCUUCUGUCUGUUUCAGCCUUGUUCCAACAUGGAAUCUAAUGCCAGAGAGACAUUUCCACUUUAGAAAAUGUCCAAAUUCACGCUCUUCCUCUUUCCUCAAGCCAGCAUCCCUUUCCACAUUUGUUAGUGAUGCCGUCUCUCUUUAAGGGGUCUACUGCGACAGCCACUUGUGUCCCACACCCAUCUCCUCACAUCUAAUCAGUUUCCAGUACCUAAUCAUUUUCUUUCAAAACAUCUCAGGUAUCCAUUCCUUUCCAUUCCCACUGCCCCAGGCUCUUGUCCCAAGUGCCACUGUCACUCAAUGGUCUCCCAGUGGGCUUCUCAUUCAGUGGCCUCCUGUGCACUCUGGCCAGGUGACCUGUUCUCAGUCAUCUGUGUGUGUGUGUGGCGGGGGGGCCUUCUCUUGCUCCAGAACCUGGAGUGACUUUCCAAAAUCUAUACCUUUUCAGGCUCACCCCUGCCUGUAUCACCUCAUAUCUACGGAUUUCCAAAACAUCCUCUCUGCUUCAGACCAGUCCUUUCAUGGUCCCAGGUAUGUGCAGCUUCGUUCUCAUCCCUGUUACAUGGAAUGCCUUUCCCUGUACCCACACGAAUGUGAUCUAACCCACCAGACCGUGAUCACAUCUCACCUCUUCUAGUUAUACCAGCCCACCGAGGUCUCCCUGCUUCACUAAAUUCCUAUUGCACUGGCAGCAAGCACCACACAGAAUGGACCUCACAGUGCCAACCCUGGGAAAGACACACAACAGUAUCACGCGCAUAAUAUACUGGCUGGCUUAACUUCCCUAGGGAGUAAGAAGUGGGUUCUAAAGAAAGUAGAGAAGAGGAGAGGUCUAAGGUGUAGAGGAUUGGAGGAAGGGGGCCACGAUGAGAAUAACUGAAAACGAAUCUCACCUGUGUGGGUUCCCCUCGGUCCAUUUUGUCCCCUGUUCCCAGCUGCCCAUAUCUGUUAUUUCCCUGCAUAAAGAUUCGGCCAAAUUCAUCCACCAAGCCAAGGUGGUUGUAGCCAAGAGCACAAAAUAGUAUCUAGGAAGUAAGACAGAAAGAGAAGGCAGGCAUUCAGUUCCCUCCAGAGGAACUCUGAGCUCCAAAAUCUCCCAGCCACUAACCUGCCAUUCCCAGCUGAUUUCUUUUGGCCUUGCCCACUACCUCGCCCCUCUCUCUCUGGGCCCCUGUCCCUCCCUGAUCAAUCAUUUGAUUCCUGCUCAUAUUUCAGACCUCUGGUGCCUUUUAAUCCCUAUAUCCCCCUCUGUCCGCCCCUUGGUCCGUCCCAUCCCUCCAGGAUCCUACCUUGGCAGGCAGUGAGAGAGCAAGCGGCAUCUGCUGGUCCAGGGGGUCAAAGGCUUGAAGGGUCCCAAAGAGAUCACGAUACACCCCUGGGGUAUGCACCUCAAAAUAUACUCCCCCCUGGUCUGGGGGGUCAGGAGCCCUCAGCUCAGCAGCUUUGGGCACCCAUUUCCUAGCGAUAAGGCCCUACCUAGGAUGAAAGCUACAAGAUCCAGGGAGUCUCACACCCACUAGAAAUGUACUAUGAUAUCUGGGAACCUAACCUCAUCUUUUCACUAGGAUGCCUGAAGGGGUCCACUGCUAGAGUAAGUAUAAGGGGCUGUCCAUAUCUGGAAAGUCUGUUUAAGACGAGGGUGUGGAGAAGAAGGAAGGUGGUUCUUACCUGUGAUGUAGAGAGUACUGCUCUGGUUAGAAGCCAUGCGGGUCACACGAAGGUGAGGCAGGCAACGGGACACCUUCCUCAGGGCCAGCUGAACUGUGUAGGAGCGUGGCUGGUCCAGCUGGGUUUCAUUCACUACCAAAGAGUAGAUCUUUCCUUCCUCUGGGAGAUGGGGAGAGGCAGACAAUGAUGUGGGGGAGGGGACCUCCCAAUAUCCACAUUAACUUCCCAAUAGACUCUCUAAGCCAUAGCGAUUAAACAUUUAUUGGCCUAGGGUGGGGUUGGAAGAAAAAGGGUAGAGGUGAAAUACAGGAAGCGUGACCUCAAGUUGCCCAGACUCUAGCCCUGUACCACCAAAAAUGAAUCAGGGAAACCCUUCAGUGUGAAUGAUGAGUGGAGAGAAAACCAGCAGUUAGAUCUGCCAGAAUCCAAUUUGAGUGUUGGGAGGAACGAUGCCUGGGGACUUGGGGCUCUGCCUGGAAUUAAGAAGUCCAGAGGGUCUGAGGCUUGGGAGUAGGGUCAAAUAUAGGGGACAGGGACACCAGUCUGCUUCAGUCAGAACAGCGCAUGACUCUUGAUCUCAGGGUUGUGAGUUUGAGCACCACACUGGGUGGAGAGAUUACUUAAGUAAAUAAAAAUUAAAAUUAAAAAAGUGUAUACAUGUAUGUGACAAUCAGCAAGGUGGGGGUAAGUUUGGGGUAUUAAGUGAAGUGCCUAGCAGGAAGUGAGGAAGAUUAGAAUUUCGAAAAUCAGGCUUUCACUAGAACAGUGGUUUCCAAACUAUUUUUUUGCAGCAGGGCCCUUUAUUCAUAUGAAAUACACAGAAUCUGGGGCGCCUGGGUGAUGCAGCUGGUCAACCAUCCCACUUUUGAUCUCAGCUCAGGUCAUGAUCUCACAGUUUUUGAGUUCAAGUCCUGCAUCAGGCUCUGCCCUGAUGGUGCUGAGCCUGCUUGGGAUUCUCUCUCUCCUUCUCUCUCUGCCCCUCCCCUGCUUGUGCACAGGUGAUAAACUUAAAAAAAAAUUUUUUUAAGUUGUUUAAAAAAAAAAAAAAGCAGAAUCUUAGUCUAUGAGACAGACAAAAAGCAAAGCUAUUUGGUUUGAGACCAGGAUGAGGUGGCAUGCAGAAAGGCCUUCCCCUCCCCUGCAGCAGGUCCUGAACCAUGUGUAGAAAACAAUUUGCAAACCACUGCUCUAGGCCACACCUGUGAGAAGCAGUAGAGCCCGCUGGUUCUCCUGACCAACCAGCACAAUCUGUUUGAAGCUCAUGGAGUGGUGGAAGGUCAUCUUGAAGACCCGCUGCCCACUGGACUGCAGAUAGACCUCGACACAGUCACAGGCCCGGCUGCCCGUUGU